Vitis riparia (riverbank grape) is the source of this 3355-nucleotide RNA transcript. It is a transcript of the gene named putative disease resistance protein At1g50180, with no coding region annotated. The record is from RefSeq and is a predicted model, not a curated record. The transcript has 3 exons. NCBI's taxonomy places the organism in Eukaryota, Viridiplantae, Streptophyta, Magnoliopsida, Vitales, Vitaceae.
AAACUGGCUUACAAAAAAUGAAGUAAAAUUGUUUAUUCUAAACAAAGAGAUCGGACAAGCCAUACUAUUCCCUUCCCUGCUGCAAGUUUGGAUAGGUAUCAAGUAAAUAGAACUGGAGAAGGAGAACACUUACAAACCUACUCAGAUCCUUUGAGUAGAAGAGAUCAAAAAUCAAUGGCCAACAUCCCCAAGCAAAGAAGUCAUUCUUGCAUCCACAACAUGGAGGAGACUAUUGAUUCAUGCGCUCUGGGAAGGCUAACUGAUUUGUUAAUCCAAGAAGCGAAAUUAUUACACGGGGUGACUGGCGAAGUUGAGGAAAUUCAAACUGAGCUGAGGCGGAUGCAAGGCUUUCUGAAAGUUGCAGAUGCAAGACAAGAUGAAGACAAGGCGGUUAUUAGCAGUUGCAUUGCAGAAAUUAGAGAGGCUGCUUAUGAUGCAGAAGAUGUCAUAGAGACUUUUGCCUUCAGAGUAGCACUGAGGGGGAGAAGCGGUUUCCUAAACAUCCUCAAGAGGUGUGCUUGCAUCUUCUCCGAAUUGAUUGCUCCCCGCAAGGUUGGUACAGAGAUUGAAGCCAUAAAACAAAGAAUAUCUACCACGACUGCAAGGUUAGAAACGUAUGAUAAUGUUAAUAGAACUGAAGGACGAGAAAGAUCAAGUUCCAGAGAUGAGAGGCAACCACGGUUUAAUGAUGAAGAAACAGUUGGGGUUGAGGAUAGUGUGAAGAUUUUGGUGGAACAGCUGGUGAAACCGGACAAGAGAUGCUCAGUUGUGUCGAUAUGGGGCAUGGGGGGUCUGGGAAAGACCACUCUUGCCAGGAAGGUUUAUCAUCAUGUUGAUGUUAGGCGUCACUUUGAUUGUUAUGCUUGGUGUUCCAUAUCUCAACACUGCAACAUCCGAGGUGUUGUGGAAGGAUUAUUGAUCAAAUUGACGUCUUCUAGUGAAGAGCAGAUAAAGAAAAUUGAGAAGAUGAGGGAUGAGGAGCUAUUUAAGAGGGCGUAUGAAAUUCAAAAGGAAAAGAAAUGUCUGGUGAUUCUUGAUGAUGUGUGGAGAAUGGAAGAUUGGGAGUGCCUAAGACCUGCCUUUCCACUGCUGAAGGAGGGCAGCAAAAUACUGCUCACCACUCGGAUCCAAGCGGUGGCUUUACAUGUGGAUCCACAACAUCACUUUUUGUGCCAACCAAAGCUUUUAUCAGCAGAGGAGAGUUGGAAACUUCUUCAGAGGAAAGCAUUUCCCUCAUACAAAGCUAUAGAUCCUAUGAUCAUUAGCAAGGAGAUGGGGAUCUGGGAAAGAAAAUGGCUAAACGUUGUGAUGGGUUGCCCUUGGCAAUUGUUGUGCUUGGAGGAGUUUUGGCCACAAAACCCACAUUUUCUGAGUGGAAAAUGGUUGAUACAAAUAUUAGGUCAUACUUGAGCAGAGGCGAUGAUCAUUCUAAGAAACAAUGUAGUGGAGUUUCACGUGUGCUAGAUUUAAGCUACCAAGAUUUGCCAUACCAUUUAAAACUAUGUUUCAUCUAUUUGGCUCAUUUCCCUGAGGAUCAUGAAAUACCAGUAAAUACUUUGGUUCAAAUGUGGAUGGCUGAAGGAAUCAUAGCAGGACUGCCUGACAAUGAAGAGACAUUGGAGGAUGUUGGACAUCGGUGUCUAGGUGAGCUAAUUGGGAGGUGUGUGGUUCAAGUAGGAGCAACAAGAUCAAAUGGAAUGGUCAAAACUUGCCGCCUCCAUGACCUGAUGCGAGAUUUAGGCUUGUCAAAGGCAAGAGAAAAUUUUUUUGAGACAUUCCAUUGGCAAGUGGAAACCAAUCCAUCUUCUACUUCAAAGAAAGUCCGAAGAGGUGUCAUAUAUUUGGAUCCAGGUGCUAAAACAUCGAGUCCUAUGCAGGUCCCAGAUAAUGCUAGAAACCUUCGAUCUCUUCUAACAUUCUGUUAUGCACCAAAUGCAGUCCACAUGAUGCCAAGGAAGUUGGACUUGAAGGACUUCAAAUUAUUAAGAGUGUUACAUCUUGAGAGACUUUUGUUGGAUGAAAAAUUGGUAAGAGCAAUACGCUACCUCAUUCACUUGAGGUACUUAAGUUUUAAAAAUGCUCGGCUGUCAUGCAUCCGUUCAUCCAUAGGAAAUUUGGGGUCCAUGCAGACGCUGGAUUUACGGUUUGAUAAUCAUGUAACUGGUUUUAAAAUACAUGAUGUGUUAUCAAGGAUGAAGUGGCUAAGACAUCUUUACCUUCCUAGAUUUAUUACGACUGAUGAUAAGGUGCUGUGGGACAGUUUGAGCAACUUGGAGACCCUAAAAAACUUUGAUGCAGAACGUUGGGCUGUACGAGAUUUGGCUACAUUGACCAAGCUUCGGAAAUUGAAAAUGAAGAAUGUCAAAAGCUUUCAAGAGUUGGAGGUGAUCCUCAAAGAUUGCAACGGCCUUCAUUCCUUGAGUUUUGACGAGGCAAUUCAGACCACAAUAGAAGAAACAGAUCUAAAGCAAUUGUCGACAUGCCGACAUCUUUAUAAACUGAAGCUGCCAGGACAAAUAAGCAGCUUGCCUGGACACCAGCACCUCCCCCAAAGCCUCACCAAGUUAGUCUUGAGGACUUCUCGACUAGCACAAGAUCCGAUGCCAAUUCUAGAGAGACUUCCUAACUUGACAGUCCUACACUUAUUGGUUAAUGCGUACGUCGGGGAAGAAAUGGUUUUCUCUACAGAUGGGUUCCCAAAGCUUAAAAAUUUAAUUCUUGGCUUCAUCCACAAUUUAAAGAAGUUGAGGGUGGAAGAAGGUGCAAUGCCUAGUCUUAAGGGUUUAAAAAUUGGAGGCUGCCCUAAUUUGGAAAUGAUCCCUGAAGGGUUGAGGUAUAUCACUACCCUUGACGUAUUGGAGAUUAAAUAUAUGCCCGAACAAUUCGAAGAGAGACUUAAAGUGAUAAAUGGAAAUGAAGGGGAGGAUUUCUACAAAGCUAAGCAUGUGCCUUCCAUCUCAUUCUUUCCAUGAUGAAGCGUUUGGUCCCUCAAGACAAGCGGCAAUCUUCCAAGACAAACUUGCUCAUGGACUCCAUCAAGGGGGUAGAUUAUGAAGAAGUAAUGAUACAUGGGAGUUGCUGUACUUGUGAGUGACAGGCUCAUGUUAUACAUCCUAUUUUAUCAAGCAGAAGAAGUGUGGUACUAGAUGCAAUUUGACUUUCUGUAAUCUCAAGACAAUAUUCCUGUGAUUUUUCUUUUCUUUUUAAUUGGUGUGUUGGGCUUGUUUGUGACUAAUAAAUCCGGGAUUGUGUUUCUAUUGGUCCUCAUUGUGCCUUUUUGUUAUCGUCUGUAUGUUGUGUAAAGAAAAUUGGAUAUUUCAAUAAUAUUUCCCCUUGUUUCUUUGUUCUUUAAACA